GGAGAGUUGGCAGAGUUUGGUUUAUUGCACCUGACUUGAAAUCAGACGAUCCCCUAAAAAGGGUCCGUGGGUUCGAAUCCCACACUCUCCU
Molecule: transfer RNA, 91 nt
Rfam family: tRNA
About the family: Transfer RNA (tRNA) molecules are approximately 80 nucleotides in length. Their secondary structure includes four short double-helical elements and three loops (D, anti-codon, and T loops). Further hydrogen bonds mediate the characteristic L-shaped molecular structure. tRNAs have two regions of fundamental functional importance: the anti-codon, which is responsible for specific mRNA codon recognition, and the 3' end, to which the tRNAs corresponding amino acid is attached (by aminoacyl-tRNA synthetases). tRNAs cope with the degeneracy of the genetic code in two manners: having more than one tRNA (with a specific anti-codon) for a particular amino acid; and 'wobble' base-pairing, i.e. permitting non-standard base-pairing at the 3rd anti-codon position.
Source: Rfam